UACGUAGGGGGCAAGCGUUGUCCGGAUUUAUUGGGCGUAAAGAGCGUGUAGGCGGUUUGGUAGGUCCGCUGUGAAAACGUCGAGGCUCAACCUCGAGACGCCGGUGGAAACCAUCAGACUAGAGUCCGGAAGAGGAGAGUGGAAGUUCCUGGUGUAGCGGUGAAAUGCGCAGAUAUCAGGAAGAACACCCGUGGCUAAGGCGGCUCUCUAGUACGGUACUGACGCUGAGACGCGAAAGCGUGGGGAGCGAACAGG
Molecule: ribosomal RNA, 255 nt
Filed under: uncultured bacterium
Lineage: Bacteria
Description: partial 16S ribosomal RNA
Rfam family: Bacterial small subunit ribosomal RNA
Source: RNAcentral